Molecule: ribosomal RNA, 497 nt
Filed under: uncultured bacterium
Lineage: Bacteria
Description: partial 16S ribosomal RNA
Rfam family: Bacterial small subunit ribosomal RNA
Source: RNAcentral
GACGAACGCUGGCGGCGUGCCUAAUACAUGCAAGUAGAACGCUGAAGAGAGGAGCUUGCUCUUCUUGGAUGAGUUGCGAACGGGUGAGUAACGCGUAGGUAACCUGCCUGGUAGCGGGGGAUAACUAUUGGAAACGAUAGCUAAUACCGCAUAAAAUUGAUUAUUGCAUGAUAAUUAAUUGAAAGAUGCAACUGCAUCACUACCAGAUGGACCUGCGUUGUAUUAGCUAGUUGGUGAGGUAACGGCUCACCAAGGCGACGAUACAUAGCCGACCUGAGAGGGUGAUCGGCCACACUGGGACUGAGACACGGCCCAGACUCCUACGGGAGGCAGCAGUAGGGAAUCUUCGGCAAUGGGGGGAACCCUGACCGAGCAACGCCGCGUGAGUGAAGAAGGUUUUCGGAUCGUAAAGCUCUGUUGUAAGAGAAGAACGGGUGUGAGAGCGGAAAGUUCACACUGUGACGGUAUCUUACCAGAAAGGGACGGCUAACUACGUG